GACGAACGCUGGCGGCGUGCUUAACACAUGCAAGUCGAACGGAAAGGCCCUGCUUUUGUGGGGUGCUCGAGUGGCGAACGGGUGAGUAACACGUGAGUAACCUGCCCUUGACUUCGGGAUAACUUCAGGAAACCGGGGCUAAUACCGGAUAGGAGCUCCUGCUGCAUGGUGGGGGUUGGAAAGUUUCGGCGGUUGGGGAUGGACUCGCGGCUUAUCAGCCUGGUGGUGGGGUAGUGGCUUACCAAGGCUUUGACGGGUAGCCGGCCUGAGAGGGUGACCGGCGACACUGGGACGAAGAUACGGCGCAGAAGCCUAGGGGAGGCAGGCGUGGUGAGUAUAGCACUAUGGGCGGAAGGCUGAUGCGGCAACGCCGGGUGCGGGGUGACGGCCUUCGGGUUGUAGACCGCAUGCGCCUGUGACGAAGCGGGAGUGACGGUAAUGGUUAAAGAAGCACCGGCUAACUACGUG
RNAcentral lists this ribosomal RNA (468 nucleotides) under uncultured bacterium. Its description in RNAcentral is "partial 16S ribosomal RNA". It matches the Rfam family "Bacterial small subunit ribosomal RNA", at positions 28 to 507 of the family's 1533-position model. The record is from RNAcentral.